CAAUAGCGUAUAUUAAAGUUGUUGCAGUUAAAACGCUCGUAGUUGGAUUUCUGUUGAAGACGACCGGUGUCCCUUGUGGUUCUACCUGGUUCGGCUUUAGCAUCCUUCUGGUGUUUGUCUCGGCACUUCAUUGUGUCGUAGCGGGCUCCAGGACUUUUACUUUGAGAAAAUUAGAGUGUUUCAAGCAGGCGUUCGCCUUGAAUACAUUAGCAUGGAAUAAUAAGAUAGGACUUCGGUUCUAUUUUGUUGGUUUCUAGAACUGGAGUAAUGAUUAAUAGGGAUAGUUGGGGGCAUUCGUAUUUAACUGCUAGAGGUGAAAUUCUUGGAUUUGUUAAAGACGGACUACUGCGAAAGCAUUUGCCUAGGAUGUUUUCAUUAA
This 379-nucleotide ribosomal RNA is filed under the name uncultured eukaryote. RNAcentral describes it as "partial 18S ribosomal RNA". It matches the Rfam family "Eukaryotic small subunit ribosomal RNA", at positions 592 to 976 of the family's 1831-position model. The record is from RNAcentral.